CAGGGGUGUAGCAAUACACUCGCUGGCGACCGGCAAACGGGUGCGGAACACGUACGCAAUCUACCCAAAACUGGUGAAUAGCCCUCCGAAAGGAGGAUUAAUACACCGUAACCUAUUGAAGUGGCAUCACUUUAUUAGUAUAGCUCCGGCGGUUUUGGAUGAGCGUGCGGCUGAUUAGGUAGUUGGCGGGGUAACGGCCCACCAAGCCUGCGAUCAGUAACUGGUGUGAGAGCACGACCAGUCACACGGGCACUGAGACACGGGCCCGACUCCUACGGGAGGCAGCAGUAAGGAAUAUUGGUCAAUGGACGCAAGUCUGAACCAGCCAUGCCGCGUGGAGGAUGAAGGCCCUCUGGGUUGUAAACUUCUUUUAUGGGGGACGAAACCCUGGUAUUCUUACCAGAUUGACGGUACCCUAGGAAUAAGCACCGGCUAACUCCGUGCCAGCAGCCGCGGUAAUACGGAGGGUGCAAGCGUUAUCCGGAUUCACUGGGUUUAAAGGGUGCGUAGGAGGGCAGGUAAGUCAGUGGUGAAAUCUCCAAGCUUAACUUGGAAACUGCCGUUGAUACUAUCUGUCUUGAAUAUUGUGGAGGUGAGCGGAAUAUGUCAUGUAGCGGUGAAAUGCUUAGAUAUGACAUAGAACACCAAUUGCGAAGGCAGCUCACUACUCAAUCAUUGACUCUGAGGCACGAAAGCGUGGGGAUCAAACAGGAUUAGAUACCCUGGUAGUCCACGCCCUAAACUAUGGAUACUCGA
RNAcentral lists this ribosomal RNA (756 nucleotides) under uncultured bacterium. Its description in RNAcentral is "bacterial SSU rRNA". It matches the Rfam family "Bacterial small subunit ribosomal RNA", at positions 70 to 820 of the family's 1533-position model. The record is from RNAcentral.